Molecule: transfer RNA, 85 nt
Filed under: Clostridium sp.
Lineage: Bacteria; Bacillati; Bacillota; Clostridia; Eubacteriales; Clostridiaceae
Also listed under: 7 other names
Description: tRNA-Leu
Rfam family: tRNA
About the family: Transfer RNA (tRNA) molecules are approximately 80 nucleotides in length.
Source: RNAcentral
GCGGAAGUGCUGGAAUUGGCAGACAGGCUAGAUUCAGGUUCUAGUGUUGCUUAGCGACGUGAGGGUUCAAGUCCCUUCUUCCGCA